CGCACAUUGCGCCCGCCAGUAUUCUGGCGGGCAUGCCUGUUCGAGCGUCAUUUCAACCCUCGACCCCCCUGGGACUUGUGCCCUGGCGGCGGUCGGUGUUGGGGCUCGGGCUCCCCCUAGCCGGGUGCCCGUCCCCUAAAGACAGUGGCGGUCACGCUGCAGCUUCCUCUGCGUAGUAAUUCACCUCGCAGCCUGGAGAGCGGCGCGGCCACGCCGUAAAACCCCCUACUUCUUAAGGUUGACCUCGGAUCAGGUAGGAAUACCCGCUGAACUUAA
This 276-nucleotide unclassified non-coding RNA is filed under the name Mariannaea catenulata. RNAcentral's name for it is "partial contains 5.8S ribosomal RNA, internal transcribed spacer 2, and large subunit ribosomal RNA". Lineage: Eukaryota; Fungi; Ascomycota; Sordariomycetes; Hypocreales; Nectriaceae. The record is from RNAcentral.